UAGGGAAUCUUCGGCAAUGGACGAAAGUCUGACCGAGCAACGCCGCUUGAGUGAAGAAGGUUUUCGGAUCGUAAAACUCUGUUGUUAGAGAAGAACAAGGACGUUAGUAACUGAACGUCCCCUGACGGUAUCUAACCAGAAAGCCACGGCUAACUACGUGCCAGCAGCCGCGGUAAUACGUAGGUGGCAAGCGUUGUCCGGAUUUAUUGGGCGUAAAGCGAGCGCAGGCGGUUUCUUAAGUCUGAUGUGAAAGCCCCCGGCUCAACCGGGGAGGGUCAUUGGAAACUGGGAGACUUGAGUGCAGAAGAGGAGAGUGGAAUUCCAUGUGUAGCGGUGAAAUGCGUAGAUAUAUGGAGGAACACCAGUGGCGAAGGCGGCUCUCUGGUCUGUAACUGACGCUGAGGCUCGAAAGCGUGGGGAGCAAACAGG
Molecule: ribosomal RNA, 429 nt
Filed under: Gemmatimonadota bacterium
Lineage: Bacteria; Pseudomonadati; Gemmatimonadota
Description: Gemmatimonadetes bacterium partial 16S ribosomal RNA
Rfam family: Bacterial small subunit ribosomal RNA
Source: RNAcentral